AUCCUGCCAAAUCUAUCACAUCCCAAUAAAAAUAUUUGUAUUUCACCGAUUAUCGUGUAUUUCAUCGAUUUUUAUGAUGAUACCCUAAAUUGCCUCAUCGAUUUCCGACUUCUGAUAGGGUUGUUAUAAAUUUGAUGGGGCAUCACCGUUGCAACGAAUAUCUUCCCGUGUUGCUGGUCAAUGUUCAUCAAACUUAAUUAUCUUGCUCGAAUUACUAGCCGAGCAAAAAUUCCAAAGUUAUUUAUAUUCCAUGGACCGGUAGGAGCCGGAAGGGCGGAUCACGCAAAAAUUUGACAUCUGCUACAAAGACGACCUCCCUCCGCCUCCGCCGGAGACGCCGCUUCCAUCGCCUUCUCCAUGCGGGCCGGCGGCGAGCGGGUGGCCGCGCUCGAGACCCUCCGAGAUGCCCAAUCUUCUUCUACCUCGUCGCCUACCUCCAGAAGGUGGCGCCUUUGGACGCCUCGUGUCCGAUUCCGCAUUUGAUCGAUAUAUCUCUUCCUUCUGCUGAGAUGGAUUGGUUGUGGAGUAUUUUUCCUUUGGGGGAUGGAGCAAUACCUUUUUAUCUCGAUGGUGCCCGCGGUAGAAUCUAUUGCUACAUAGUUUGAUUUGAAAUUUCUUAGAACUUAUUGAAGCUACUUUGGCGAAUACUGACCUUGUUCUUUUCAGUAGCCGGUGGAUUCAAGCUCCUCGUAUUCUUUUGAAUCACUGGCCCUAACUCCUUUGCGUACAUGCUUCACCCACAAAAAAUGGUAAGACAUUCACUUUCAACAGAUAUUGAGGGUAAUCCUUUCAUAGACAAAUUUGAGUUUGAAGAAGCUAUUGGUGAAAGCUGUGAUGUUUAGGGGAGCCUGUGGUCAACAUAGUGGCAUUGAUGUGCCAUUGAUGCUAACAAGGCGUUCCUUUUUCUUUAUCACUUAUCUUUCGAAAAGGAUGCCACCAAGGUGUUCAUAGCCAUAUCUUGUAUUGAGAUUAUGAAUUGCCUGUCUGCCCAUUUGAAAUUUUUGAGUGCACCUAAUGUGAGGUUUGAAAUGUCAUAGUUUGUCGAUGAGUUGCCUUUCACAGUAGAGCUGGCUUGUCAGAACUCCUUUCCUCAGCGUAUGGGAGGGGUUUCGAGUUCAAACAAUCAUGCUAUUAUUAUUAUUAUUGUUAUUGUUAUUAUUGACAAGGUGGUAUAUUCAUAUAAUUUUGAAAUAAAUAUAAUCAAAAAAAUCGGAAAACAAAAUAUCACAAAAA
Molecule: long non-coding RNA, 1233 nt
Organism: Elaeis guineensis (African oil palm)
Lineage: Eukaryota; Viridiplantae; Streptophyta; Magnoliopsida; Arecales; Arecaceae
Source: RefSeq, a predicted model, not a curated record